AGUCGAGCGAGCUGAAUUCAAAGAUCCCUUCGGGGUGAUUUGUUGGACGCUAGCGGCGGAUGGGUGAGUAACACGUGGGCAAUCUGCCCUAAAGACUGGGAUACCACUUGGAAACAGGUGCUAAUACCGGAUAACAACAUGAAUCGCAUGAUUCAAGUUUGAAAGGCGGCGUAAGCUGUCACUUUAGGAUGAGCCCGCGGCGCAUUAGCUAGUUGGUGGGGUAAAGGCCUACCAAGGCAAUGAUGCGUAGCCGAGUUGAGAGACUGAUCGGCCACAUUGGGACUGAGACACGGCCCAAACUCCUACGGGAGGCAGCAGUAGGGAAUCUUCCACAAUGGACGCAAGUCUGAUGGAGCAACGCCGCGUGAGUGAAGAAGGUUUUCGGAUCGUAAAGCUCUGUUGUUGGUGAAGAAGGAUAGAGGCAGUAACUGGUCUUUAUUUGACGGUAAUCAACCAGAAAGUCACGGCUAACUACGUGCCAGCAGCCGCGGUAAUACGUAGGUGGCAAGCGUUGUCCGGAUUUAUUGGGCGUAAAGCGAGCGCAGGCGGAAUGAUAAGUCUGAUGUGAAAGCCCACGGCUCAACCGUGGAACUGCAUCGGAAACUGUCAUUCUUGAGUGCAGAAGAGGAGAGUGGAAUUCCAUGUGUAGCGGUGGAAUGCGUAGAUAUAUGGAAGAACACCAGUGGCGAAGGCGGCUCUCUGGUCUGCAACUGACGCUGAGGCUCGAAAGCAUGGGUAGCGAACAGGAUUAGAUACCCUGGUAGUCCAUGCCGUAAACGAUGAGCGCUAGGUGUUGGGGACUUUCCGGUCCUCAGUGCCGCAGCAAACGCAUUAAGCGCUCCGCCUGGGGAGUACGACCGCAAGGUUGAAACUCAAAGGAAUUGACGGGGGCCCGCACAAGCGGUGGAGCAUGUGGUUUAAUUCGAAGCAACGCGAAGAACCUUACCAGGUCUUGACAUCCUGUGCUACACCUAGAGAUAGGUGGUUCCCUUCGGGGACGCA
This 1002-nucleotide ribosomal RNA is filed under the name Lactobacillus delbrueckii. RNAcentral's name for it is "bacterial SSU rRNA". It matches the Rfam family "Bacterial small subunit ribosomal RNA", at positions 60 to 1030 of the family's 1533-position model. The record is from RNAcentral. Lineage: Bacteria; Bacillati; Bacillota; Bacilli; Lactobacillales; Lactobacillaceae.